This is a long non-coding RNA of Mauremys reevesii (Reeves's turtle), 1176 nucleotides long. RefSeq lists it as uncharacterized. The record is from RefSeq and is a predicted model, not a curated record. The transcript is spliced from 4 exons. Lineage: Eukaryota; Metazoa; Chordata; Testudines; Geoemydidae.
AUUUCUGAGUGCAGUUUCCCAUGACAUUGCUGGAAAGAUUUUAUCUGAAGCACUAAAGUUCUGGAGUGGGGUUUGUGAUGAUGAUGAAGUAUUUGUUUCCUUGUUGACAAAACAGGGUUCUGCAUAAAAGGUUUGAGUUGCUGACCCCCUUGUAGUUCUUCAAUAUCCUUUUUGAGCUAGGGUAACCGGUACUGUACAAAGUGUUCCAGUUUGAAGACUAAGAUAAGAAGAGAGAGAAGUUGUAAACUAAAUCAGCAUUUGGCCUCAGAUUACCAGGGUUGAAGGCUCAUCCUCAAAACAACUCCUCAACAUCCGCUCAGUACCUCAUCCUUCCCCAAGGCUAUCACCAUUCUCAAAGAUGUCACACCUUGCUUGACCUUCCCUCUGCCAAGGAAGACGCAAAUAUGUUUCCUAGACGAGCAGGAAGACCACCAGCCUAGAAAACCCUGCUUCUCUGCACCACUACUGUGAGAAUCUGAAAGUAACAAAAUCUUAUUGGCUAAUAAAUCUGAUCUAGAAGAUAAUGAUGAAGAGGGAGAUUAGAAUGAUAUGAACAUACAGUAAUUGUCCAGGAACUGUGAAAUGAAAGAAAAGAAUCAGUGCAGUGAGGAGAUGAGGAUUAUAUUAAUGAUGAAAAUGGCUUGCUGGAUAAUAAAGAGGAAUUAUUUGGACAUAAAGUGACAGAUGGGAAGAAUAUAUUCAUGGAAUAAAAUGACAAUGUUAUAGUGAUAAACCCUUCAGAAGACUUGAAGCCACUAAGCUGCACAAUAGUGAACCUACGUAACUGUAUGAUCAUUUCAUUGCUGUUGUCCUCCUUCCCCUCCACUUCCUUGCUUUCAUUCAUUGCUCUCACUUUUUUUUGCCUCUUGUUCCAAAUUCUGAUCUCAUUUUAGCUCUGUUUUAAGACCACUGUAACUCUAUUAACUUCAGUGGCUGGACUCUUGAUUUAUACCCAAAGUAAGGCCCAAUUCAGCAAGCGACUUACCCACAUGCCAGACUUUGUGACUGUGUUUCAGGGAAGUCAAUGGGACUACUCAUGUGCAUAAAGUUAAGCAAUAGGUUUAAGCACUUUGUCUUGAUUCAGCAGUAUGAGAGGAGAAUUGUCAGGGCCUGAUCCUGUGCCCACUGAAGUUGGUGGAAAGGCUUUCAUUGACAUCACUCGCCAUUGAAUUAGAC